UGCACCCCACAUGGUAUAAGGAGCUGGGUCU
RNAcentral lists this non-coding RNA (31 nucleotides) under Mus musculus (house mouse). The record is from RNAcentral. Lineage: Eukaryota; Metazoa; Chordata; Mammalia; Rodentia; Muridae.